GGGGGUAUAGCUCAGUGGCAGAGUGCUUGCCUAACAUGCAUAAAGCCCUGGGUUCAACCCCCAGCUCUG
Molecule: transfer RNA, 69 nt
Filed under: Marmota marmota marmota (Alpine marmot)
Lineage: Eukaryota; Metazoa; Chordata; Mammalia; Rodentia; Sciuridae
Also listed under: 2 other names
Rfam family: tRNA
About the family: Transfer RNA (tRNA) molecules are approximately 80 nucleotides in length.
Source: Rfam by way of RNAcentral